UAAUACGAAGGGUGCAAGCGUUACUCGGAAUUACUGGGCGUAAAGCGUGCGUAGGUGGUGGUUUAAGUCUGCUGUGAAAGCCCUGGGCUCAACCUGGGAAUUGCAGUGGAUACUGGAUCACUAGAGUGUGGUAGAGGGAUGCGGAAUUUCUGGUGUAGCAGUGAAAUGCGUAGAGAUCAGAAGGAACAUCCGUGGCGAAGGCGGCAUCCUGGGCCAACACUGACACUGAGGCACGAAAGCGUGGGAGCAAACAGGAUUAGAUACCCUGGUAGUCCACGCCCUAAACGAUGCGAACUGGAUGUUGGGUGCAACUUGGCACCCAGUAUCGAAGCUAACGCGUUAAGUUCGCCGCCUGGGGAGUACGGUCGCAAGACUGAAACUCAAAGGAAUUGACGGGGGCCCGCACAAGCGGUGGAGUAUGUGGUUUAAUUCGAUGCAACGCGAAGAACCUUACCUGGUCUUGACAUCCACGGAACUUUCCAGAGAUGGAUUGGUGCC
RNAcentral lists this ribosomal RNA (498 nucleotides) under uncultured Pseudoxanthomonas sp. Its description in RNAcentral is "bacterial SSU rRNA". It matches the Rfam family "Bacterial small subunit ribosomal RNA", at positions 521 to 1018 of the family's 1533-position model. Lineage: Bacteria; Pseudomonadati; Pseudomonadota; Gammaproteobacteria; Lysobacterales; Lysobacteraceae. The record is from RNAcentral.